CUGGAAACUGUGCGUCUUGUGGAGCAGUCAUAAAACAAGUCAAGCUUUGCCAAGGAAUUGUAACUGAUGGAUAUGGGGCAAUCGCUAGUAGACCCAAUCAAAAUAAGUCCUCCCCAGUUCGUCUCACAGGUACAUGUCCAGGGUUUCACACAGGUGCCGUGCACACAACCUGGAUACGGCAAACACUCGUCACACAGCGGACCCUGCCAGCCGUACUUACACCUGGAACACCAACACAUUACUGCUUGUGAGCCAGUAAGGAAAUAAUACAAUCAGGAAGGACCAGGAAGUACCCCCUCCCUCCCCACCACCACCCCAAAAAAACCAGACACACACCCA
This is a long non-coding RNA of Xyrauchen texanus (razorback sucker), 339 nucleotides long. RefSeq lists it as uncharacterized. The transcript has 3 exons. The record is from RefSeq and is a predicted model, not a curated record. NCBI's taxonomy places the organism in Eukaryota, Metazoa, Chordata, Actinopteri, Cypriniformes, Catostomidae.